RNAcentral lists this ribosomal RNA (468 nucleotides) under uncultured bacterium. RNAcentral's name for it is "partial 16S ribosomal RNA". It matches the Rfam family "Bacterial small subunit ribosomal RNA", at positions 28 to 507 of the family's 1533-position model. The record is from RNAcentral.
GACGAACGCUGGCGGCGUGCUUAACACAUGCAAGUCGAACGGAAAGGCCCUGCUUUUGUGGGGUGCUCGAGUGGCGAACGUGUGAGUAACACGUGAGUAACCUGCCAUUGACUUUGGGAUAACUUCAGGAAACUGGGGCUAAUACCGGAUAGGAGCUCCUGCUGCAUGGUGGGGGUUGGAAAGUGUCGGCGGUUGGGGAUGGACUCGCGGCUUAUGAGCUGGUUGGUGGGGUAGUGGCUUACCAAGGCUUUGACGGGUAGCCGGCCUGAGAGGGUGACCGGCCACAAUGGGACUGAGGUACGGCCCAGACUCCUACGGGAGGCAGCAGUGGGGAAUAUUGCACAAUGGGCGGAAGCCUGAUGCAGCAACGCCGCGUGCGGGAUGACGGCCUUCGGGUUGUAAACCGCUUUCGCCUGUGACGAAGCGUGAGUGACGGUAAUGGGUAAAGAAGCACCGGCUAACUACGUG